ACCAUUGAUCAACAACCACUGAU
Molecule: microRNA, 23 nt
Filed under: Oreochromis niloticus (Nile tilapia)
Lineage: Eukaryota; Metazoa; Chordata; Actinopteri; Cichliformes; Cichlidae
Description: oni-miR-10684
Source: miRBase by way of RNAcentral